AUAACAAUGACCCCAUUUUAUUUUGGUAGCUACUGAGUCCAGGCCAUGCAUCAGUAUGAUAUGAACCCACAAAUGAAAUUGGAAAUACACAAUACCUGCUGUAGCCAACAGCUACUCAGCGUGUCCUGUGGCUACCAGGCGGCCUGCCAGGCUUCGCCGUUGCAAGAUCAACCAGAUCCUUGAACAGGGCAUCUUCGGGUCUAGUUUGUUUGGUUGGCGCUGAUGAUGAACCUGAUCCUUGACGUGGAGGAACCUGUCGCUGAACCCGUGUGGUGUUUGUGGUGUUUCCCUCAUCGACGGACAGGCCCUGUGCCUGCUCUACCAACCGAUUGUACGCAGCUUCUGCAUCCUCGCCAUUCGGACCUUGAUGCUGCUCAAAAAACUGCUGUCUCUGAUUAUAUUUUGAAGGUGGGGGCGGUAGAGAAACAGUAGGCUGGGGUUCCCAGGGAGCUUUAGGAAGAUCCUCGGCGGCUAGUUUUGUUGCGUGGAAUGGCCCGGCAAAUAUGGGGUCAUUGGGGUGCGGUGGAGGUAAAAAUAUUUCAGAAGUUGGCGGAGAAUCUGAUAGUCUGGGUGGCGAAGGUGGGCUGACAUGGCUAACUGUU
RNAcentral lists this unclassified non-coding RNA (602 nucleotides) under Hevea brasiliensis (rubber tree). Lineage: Eukaryota; Viridiplantae; Streptophyta; Magnoliopsida; Malpighiales; Euphorbiaceae. The record is from RNAcentral.